Molecule: ribosomal RNA, 1298 nt
Filed under: Bacillus pumilus
Lineage: Bacteria; Bacillati; Bacillota; Bacilli; Caryophanales; Bacillaceae
Description: bacterial SSU rRNA
Rfam family: Bacterial small subunit ribosomal RNA
Source: RNAcentral
AGGGGCAAAGGGGCUGCUCCGGAUGUUAGCGGCGGACGGGUGAGUAACACGUGGGUAACCUGCCUGUAAGACUGGGAUAACUCCGGGAAACCGGAGCUAAUACCGGAUAGUUCCUUGAACCGCAUGGUUCAAGGAUGAAAGACGGUUUCGGCUGUCACUUACAGAUGGACCCGCGGCGCAUUAGCUAGUUGGUGGGGUAAUGGCUCACCAAGGCGACGAUGCGUAGCCGACCUGAGAGGGUGAUCGGCCACACUGGGACUGAGACACGGCCCAGACUCCUACGGGAGGCAGCAGUAGGGAAUCUUCCGCAAUGGACGAAAGUCUGACGGAGCAACGCCGCGUGAGUGAUGAAGGUUUUCGGAUCGUAAAGCUCUGUUGUUAGGGAAGAACAAGUGCGAGAGUAACUGCUCGCACCUUGACGGUACCUAACCAGAAAGCCACGGCUAACUACGUGCCAGCAGCCGCGGUAAUACGUAGGUGGCAAGCGUUGUCCGGAAUUAUUGGGCGUAAAGGGCUCGCAGGCGGUUUCUUAAGUCUGAUGUGAAAGCCCCCGGCUCAACCGGGGAGGGUCAUUGGAAACUGGGAAACUUGAGUGCAGAAGAGGAGAGUGGAAUUCCACGUGUAGCGGUGAAAUGCGUAGAGAUGUGGAGGAACACCAGUGGCGAAGGCGACUCUCUGGUCUGUAACUGACGCUGAGGAGCGAAAGCGUGGGGAGCGAACAGGAUUAGAUACCCUGGUAGUCCACGCCGUAAACGAUGAGUGCUAAGUGUUAGGGGGUUUCCGCCCCUUAGUGCUGCAGCUAACGCAUUAAGCACUCCGCCUGGGGAGUACGGUCGCAAGACUGAAACUCAAAGGAAUUGACGGGGGCCCGCACAAGCGGUGGAGCAUGUGGUUUAAUUCGAAGCAACGCGAAGAACCUUACCAGGUCUUGACAUCCUCUGACAACCCUAGAGAUAGGGCUUUCCCUUCGGGGACAGAGUGACAGGUGGUGCAUGGUUGUCGUCAGCUCGUGUCGUGAGAUGUUGGGUUAAGUCCCGCAACGAGCGCAACCCUUGAUCUUAGUUGCCAGCAUUUAGUUGGGCACUCUAAGGUGACUGCCGGUGACAAACCGGAAGGAAGGUGGGGAUGACGUCAAAUCAUCAUGCCCCUUAUGACCUGGGCUACCAACGUGCUACAAUGGAACAGACCAAAGGGUUGCGAGACCGCAAGGGUUAGCCAAUCCCAUAAAUCUGUUCUCAGUUCGGAUCCCAAUUUGGAACUCCACUGCGUGGAAGCUGGAAUCGCUAGUAAUCCCGGAA